UAGGGAAUAUUGGUAAUCUGCGAAAGCGGGAACCAGCAACGCCGCGUGUGCGAAGAAGGCCUUCGGGUUGUAAAGCACUUUUCGGGAGGAAGAGGAAGGACUGUACUCCCGGAAUAAGUCUCGGCUAACUACGUGCCAGCAGCCGCGGUAAUACGUAGGAGGCUAACGUUAUUCGGAUUUACUGGGCGUAAAGCGCGUGCAGGCGGUUCGGUAAGUUGGACGUGAAAGCUCCCGGCUCAACUGGGAGAGGUCGUUCAAUACUGCCGGGCUAGAGGAUGGAAGAGGGAGGUGGAAUUCCGGGUGUAGUGGUGAAAUGCGCAGAUAUCCGGAGGAACACCAGUGGCGAAGGCGACCUCCUGGGCCAUUCCUGACGCUCAGACGCGAAAGCUAGGGUAGCGAACGGG
This 404-nucleotide ribosomal RNA is filed under the name uncultured bacterium. Its description in RNAcentral is "bacterial SSU rRNA". It matches the Rfam family "Bacterial small subunit ribosomal RNA", at positions 355 to 776 of the family's 1533-position model. The record is from RNAcentral.